UACGUAGGGUGCAAGCGUUGUCCGGAAUUAUUGGGCGUAAAGAGCUCGUAGGCGGUCUGUCGCGUCGGCUGUGAAAACCCGGGGCUCAACCCCGGGCCUGCAGUCGAUACGGGCAGACUAGAGUGCGGUAGGGGAGACUGGAAUUCCUGGUGUAGCGGUGAAAUGCGCAGAUAUCUGGAGGAACACCGGUGGCGAAGGCGGCAUCCUGGACCGGCAUUGACGCUGAUGAGCGAAAGCCAGGGGAGCAAACGGG
This 253-nucleotide ribosomal RNA is filed under the name uncultured bacterium. Its description in RNAcentral is "partial 16S ribosomal RNA". It matches the Rfam family "Bacterial small subunit ribosomal RNA", at positions 524 to 776 of the family's 1533-position model. The record is from RNAcentral.